This 233-nucleotide ribosomal RNA is filed under the name uncultured bacterium. RNAcentral's name for it is "partial 16S ribosomal RNA". It matches the Rfam family "Bacterial small subunit ribosomal RNA", at positions 103 to 334 of the family's 1533-position model. The record is from RNAcentral.
CGGGUGAGUAACGCGUGAGGAACCUGCCUCAAAGAGGGGGACAACAGUUGGAAACGACUGCUAAUACCGCAUAAGCCCACGGUGCCGCAUGGCACAGAGGGAAAAGGAGCAAUCCGCUUUGAGAUGGCCUCGCGUCCGAUUAGCUAGUUGGUGAGGUAACGGCCCACCAAGGCGACGAUCGGUAGCCGGACUGAGAGGUUGAACGGCCACAUUGGGACUGAGACACGGCCCAG